Molecule: ribosomal RNA, 4107 nt
Filed under: Triticum aestivum (bread wheat)
Lineage: Eukaryota; Viridiplantae; Streptophyta; Magnoliopsida; Poales; Poaceae
Description: partial small subunit ribosomal RNA
Source: RNAcentral
AUGGGGUCUCGUGGAAGGAUGUUAUUUGACCUCAAUGAGCUCCCAACAGAAGCUGAUGAAGAAGAAGCUGCUGUUGUUGUGUCCCAACCUCAGCUUCCUGUUCCCAAUAUGUAUCCCUCAAAUUUGUUUCCACCACAAGAAGUGCCUUGGUCACAAGGGAUAUUAAACAACCAUGCCUUUAAUCAUGCAUCUUCUGGUUCAGGUUUUCAGCCUUUUGUUAGAAGUACAGAUUCACAAAAUGUAAAGAAUUCUAUGAAUACAGAAGAGAAUUUGGAUGCUACUGCGGCUUCUACAUCUGUGGUAACUAAUAAUUUAUCUGAUAGUGUUGUGUGUCCUACUGGGCCCUCCAAUCAGGUUCCACAAUCAGUUGAAAGAGAAGAGGGAGAGUGGUCUGAUGCAGAUGGUGCUUCUGACACAGCAGGUAGUAGUGUCAGCAACAAGGAAGAAUCUGCUGGUACUGCAAGUACUCAAGUGAAAAGAGAAUCCCAGGAGAGUGGACCUGCUAUUGUUAAAUCUACUGAUGUGAUUAAAGAUGACAUUGCUCCUGAACCUGGUGACACUGAAAUGUCUGAUGUGUCUAAAGGUCCAGUCCUUCAUGGUCUGACAGGACUAGAGAGCAUGAAAACGUCUGAAUCUAAAGGAAGUCAACCUGUGGAUGAUUUGGACCAGUGCACUAAGUCAAAGGAUGUCAGAGGAGUAGAAGCCAGUUAUGCAUUGAAGUGCACGAACAACCCUGCAAAGAGACCUAAGUUAGAUGAUCACAAAGUUGCAAUGCUUGGUAAAAAGCGAGCGAGGCAGACUGUGUUCAUCAAUGUUGAGGAUGCAAAACAAGCUGGCACAAUGAAGACAAUUACACCGAGGAGACAGUCAUCUUUUCCAGCACCAAUUGUUACACGUACCGUGAAAGAAGCUUCUCGUGGUGUUGGUGAAAGAGCUGCAGACAAGCAGAACCAACCAGUCAUCAGGGAUCAGAGACAAUCUGAGAUGAUUGGUCCAGAAAGAAGUAAUUCUGCAGAUCCUUGUGACCAAAAUGGAGAAUCUAAUGGUGAUUUUGAGUUGGGAUCUCACGGCAGGUCAAAGAAAAUGAAUGCCGAAGAACCCCCCUCAGAUAGUUACCAACAAUCUGUGCCAAGGCAGGCCUUUUCAAAGCAGCCCACGGAUUCCAAGCAGUUUAAAGGCAGACCAGUCUCUUCUCAGAGAGCACUUCUAACAGGACAACAUACUGCAGAUCAGAAGCCAGCUAACAAAAGGUCUCUUGUUCCAAAGAAGCAAGCUUCAGUUAAUAACACACAGUAUAAUGACACAUCUGUUGAACGAUUUAUACGGGAAGUGACAAAUGGCAAGUUCUGGCACAAUCCAGAGGAGGAAGAACUUCAGUGUGUUCCUGGAAGCUUUGAUUCUGCCGAGGAGUACAUUAGAGUUUUUGAGCCUUUGCUUUUUGAGGAAUGCAGAGCUCAGCUAUAUAGUUCCUACGAGGAGAGUCUUGAGGCUGUAUCAAGGGAUGCACAUGUAAUGGUGCGCGUGAAAAGUGUGGAUAGGCGUGAAAGAGGAUGGUAUGAUGUUAUUGUUUUGCCAACACAUGAAUAUAAAUGGACUUUUAAAGAAGGAGAAGUUGCAAUUUUGUCGUCCCCCCGGCCUGGUUCAGCUGCCCAAUCAAGUAGAUCUAAUAGGAAGACCGCUGCUUCAAAUGAAGACGCUGAAGCUGACUGUGGACGGCUUGUAGGUACGGUCAGACGCCAUAUGCCUAUUGAUACGCGUGAUCCCAUUGGAGCAACUAUCCAUUUUUAUGCUGGGGAUUCAUUUGAUUGUAGCAGCGAGACUAAUGUUCUGAGGAAACUGCAACCUCGAAGCACCUGGUAUCUAACGGGUCUUGGUUCCCUUGCAACAACACAAAGGGAAUAUGUAGCAUUGCAUGCAUUCCGCCGUCUUAAUGUGCAGAUGCAAAAUGCAAUUCUUCAGCCAAGUCCAGAGCACUUCCCAAAAUAUCAAGAGCAGCCGCCUGCUAUGCCUGACUGUUUCACUCCAAGUUUUUCUGAUCAUAUCAAUCGUACUUUCAAUGGGCCUCAGCUAUCGGCUAUUCAUUGGGCUGCAAUGCACACAGCUGCUGGUACAAGCAAUGGAGUGGUUAAGAAACAAGAACCAUGGCCUUUCACAUUAGUACAAGGUCCUCCGGGGACAGGGAAAACCCAUACUGUGUGGGGAAUGUUAAAUGUUAUUCAUCUUGUUCAGUAUCAACAUUACUAUGCUGCUCUGCUAAAGAAACUUGCUCCUGAAAGUUACAAGCAAGUUGGUAGUACCACUAACAGCAGCUCAGAGGCUUUUGCCGCAGGGUCUAUUGAUGAAGUUUUGCAGAGCAUGGAUCAGAACCUUUUCCGCACUCUUCCCAAGCUUUGCCCCAAACCACGGAUGCUUGUGUGCGCCCCAUCAAAUGCUGCAACAGAUGAGCUGCUUUCUCGUGUUCUUGACCGAGGUUUCAUAGAUGGUGAGAUGAAGGUUUACCGCCCUGAUGUUGCCCGUGUUGGAGUUGACACACAGUCUCGUGCUGCCCAAGCUGUAUCAGUUGAGCGACGGACGGAACAGCUUUUAAUGAAGGGCCGUGAUGAAGUAAUUGGGUGGUUGCAGCAGCUAAAAGGCCGUGAGCAGCAGUUAUCACAGGAGAUAGGGCUUCUACAGAGGGAACUUAAUAUCGUUGCAGCAGCUGGUAGAUCCCAUGGUUCGGUUGGGGUAGAUCCUGAUGUGCUAGCUCACAGGGAUCGUAACCGUGACAUUCUGCUUCAAAAACUUGCUGCCUCUGUAGAAAGCAGGGAUAAAGUACUUGUAGAGAUGUCAAGGCUGCUGAUAUUAGAAAGCAGGUUCCGUGUUGGCAGCAACUUCAAUCUGGAAGAUGCUAGGUCUAGUCUGGAAGCCAGUUUCGCCAAUGAAGCAGAAAUUGUUUUUACAACAGUGUCAAGCAGCGGGCGCAGGUUAUUUUCUCGCCUUAGUCAUGGUUUUGAUAUGGUUGUUAUCGAUGAGGCUGCUCAGGCCAGUGAAGUUGGAGUCCUCCCUCCACUUGCACUUGGUGCCGCUAGAUGUGUCUUGGUAGGUGAUCCACAGCAGCUCCCUGCCACUGUUAUUAGUAAAGCGGCUGGAACUUUACUCUAUAGCAGGAGCCUUUUUGAGAGGUUUCAGCAGGCUGGUUGCCCUACCAUUUUGUUGUCAGUGCAAUAUCGGAUGCAUCCCCAGAUCCGAGAGUUUCCAUCACGAUACUUUUAUCAAGGCCGCCUUACAGACAGUGAAAGUGUUGUCAAACUGCCUGAUGAGUUGUAUUACAAAGAUGCAUUAAUGGCACCUUACAUAUUUUAUGACAUCUCACAUGGUCGUGAGUCUCAUAGAGGUGGAUCAUCUUCAUACCAGAAUGUUCAUGAAGCUCAGUUUGCAUUGCGUUUAUACGAGCAUCUUCAGAAGCUUGUGAAAGUUAAUGGUGGUAAGAAGGCAUCUGUUGGUAUAAUCACUCCAUAUAAGUUGCAGUUGAAGUGUCUUCAGCGGGAAUUUGAGGAGGUCAUGAAUACUGAGGAAGGGAAAGAUAUCUACAUAAACACAGUAGAUGCUUUUCAAGGCCAGGAGCGUGAUGUGAUUAUCAUGUCAUGCGUGCGUGCUUCAAACCACGGCGUGGGUUUUGUUGCAGAUAUACGGCGCAUGAAUGUUGCUCUUACUCGAGCUAGGAGAGCUCUAUGGGUUGUUGGUAAUGCCAGUGCUCUCAUGCAGUCAGAGGACUGGGCGGCGCUGGUAGCAGAUGCAAAGGCCAGAAAAUGUUUCAUGGACUUGGAUAGCAUCCCCAAGGACUUUCUUGCCAUGAAGAUCUCUUCCAACACUCCAGGAAGGAAUACUUCAAACAACCUAAGGAACUUGAGGACUGGUGGACCAAGACCGAGGCAUCUGGACAUGCUUCCGGACCCCAGGAUUGGCAUGAGGGCUGAUGAGGAUGAGCGUCCUAACUCUGUUCCAAGAAAUGCUAGUUACCGGAAUUUGGAUGACCUGGGACGAUCUGGUGAUAGAUCUAGGGAAAGUUUGCAGUUUGGAGUGGCCAAGAGGCCGAAUUCAUCCAAUGGUUCUCGGAGAGAAGUCUGA